This 897-nucleotide long non-coding RNA is filed under the name Equus caballus (horse). RNAcentral's name for it is "lncRNA (ENSECAG00000038025.3)". The record is from RNAcentral. Lineage: Eukaryota; Metazoa; Chordata; Mammalia; Perissodactyla; Equidae.
AGAGGCACUUCUUCCAGCACUAACCCUGGAAGGGUGCUUCAGGAUCUCCGAAUCCCCACUGUACAGAUGGGAAAACUGAUGCCUAAGGAGGAGAAAGGACUUGCCCGUGGCCACACAGCGUGGUGUUCCAGUGACUCCAGCAGCUAGGAUCACGCUCUAGCUGCCGUGUGGAGACUGGACUGGAGGGAGAAGGGAGAAGACGCAAGCAGGGCAGUUAGGAGGCUGAUGCGGUGGUCCAGGUGGCCUCAGCUAGAAGAUCCUGGGAACACGGGCCGGACAUUGCCAUGGGCGACUGAAGAGGUGCCUCUUUCCUAUCCGCCUGGCAGUUAAGGCAGCGACGAAGAUCGCAGCAGGGCUGGCACGCUCUGAUUUUCUCCUGAGCGCUAAGUGGAGCUGCAAGGUGACAGAACCUCCCCGCAGUGCUCGGGUGGGACGUUCCUGUUUUAGAGCCGAGUUGCCUGAGAACCCUCUGGGAUUGGGCCCCGCCCUUCAGGGAAGAGCACCCGGCAGAGUGUUGUAUCCAGGACUGACCAGCAGGGGGCGAGCCAGACUCGGAAAUGACCAUUGCUGAGACCUGGGUGAAUCUUGCUGCUGUUUCCAACUCAAGAAGUCUGGUUUUUCCUGGACCCCUGCCCUUGAAGACAACCAGAGACCAGACUGAAAAACCCCAUGGACCGUGGACGUGUUUCAUCUCUCAUUCCUCCCUGGGGAGUAGAGAAUUGACUUAUGCCCAUUGUCCUUGUAUGAUAAAUGAUUGAAAAUAACUUUUUAGUACGGUAGAGGCUAAUUUCUUUACUUUGUAUUCUAUAAUUUGUUGAUUUUUAAGAGAAAAGGGAAAAAACUCCCUUUGGGAUGCGACAUUCACAGAAUUCGUGCUAGAAAGGUCUUAGAUUGUAU